Hippocampus comes (tiger tail seahorse) is the source of this 679-nucleotide long non-coding RNA. RefSeq lists it as uncharacterized. The transcript is spliced from 6 exons. The record is from RefSeq and is a predicted model, not a curated record. Lineage: Eukaryota; Metazoa; Chordata; Actinopteri; Syngnathiformes; Syngnathidae.
AAAGAUAUUCCAGCCACUACAAGUGUGAUUGUGAAGAAAUGCAGCGGCCUCGAGUUGGUGGAAAUCAACGUAGACGUAAUGAGACCACAUCCUGCCGACGAGAGUCGAUGGACCCACAGACUUUGAACAAAAGAGCUCCGCCUCUUGCGUGUACUCGAGGGCGGCGCGCAUCCCCAAAUAUCAGCGACGGCAGGUUGAAAGGCGCAAAAUAAGCUAAACCUCGGUGGAGUUCAGCUCGGAGAAAGAAGAAGAAAAGUACACAACGCAGACUUCAAGGCUCUCUGGCAGCGGAAAAAUGCAGCGUAUGAAAAUAAAAGUAAAAUAGAGCGAGCGCAAGCAGCAAAGGCUCCGACAACUCAGUAUCAAGAACGCGCAGUCCGGCCUCGUGAACUGGACAAGGACGGUCUUCCUAAGAAGCUUUGGCUAUAUAUGGACACAGGCACUCCUCAGUAAGAUGCACCGAUUUCUAUGUAGUUGGUCUUCACAGAGGAUAAAGACUAUAUGCAUUGAGGUGAGCGAUCGCACUUUGAUCCGUCAUUGAUCGCCUCCCCUUCCUCUCACUCCCGCCUUCUUCAAUCACUCCCCCGUUAAAACAUUGGCGGCGACCCGAGGCGUUGAAGCGCAGUGACGAGGUUAAUUGACACUCUCUCUCUCUCUCUCUCUCUCUCUCUCUCUCUGU